RNAcentral lists this long non-coding RNA (271 nucleotides) under Elaeis guineensis (African oil palm). RNAcentral's name for it is "long non-coding RNA (EGUI_LNC008155)". Lineage: Eukaryota; Viridiplantae; Streptophyta; Magnoliopsida; Arecales; Arecaceae. The record is from RNAcentral.
GUUGAUCAUAUCAAAUCAUCCAUAGUAGAAUAAUAAUUGUAAUUCGACAAAAUUGAUUGAACCACUAUUUGUCAUUUUCAAAUCAAGUGUCCAAAAUAUAAAAAUUUUCAAUAUUAUCUAUAAAUAUAAUUGUGGACUAAAUACAUGUCCAUUCUAAUAUGACACUAACUCUCUGCUCUAACCAAAUAUCCAAUCUUCUUCAACCUUACCCUAGCUUUAGAGCUUUCUCUACAAAAGGUCAAAACAAGGACUAUCUUACUUCAUAGCCCAA